GUCCAUGUAGUAUAUCCAUUACACUGGUCUUGUAAGCCAGAAAAGGGAAAAUAAACCUCCCCAUAGACUC
RNAcentral lists this transfer RNA (70 nucleotides) under Trachops cirrhosus. RNAcentral describes it as "tRNA-Thr". Lineage: Eukaryota; Metazoa; Chordata; Mammalia; Chiroptera; Phyllostomidae. The record is from RNAcentral.